UUGUAGCCUGCUAUGGUAUAACUUAGUGGCAGACGGGAGAGUAAUGUAUAGGAAUCUACCUAGUAGUACGGAAUAAUUUGUUGGAAACGGCAACUAAUACCGUAUACGCCCUACGGGGGAAAAAUUUAUUGCUAUUAGAUGAGCCUAUAUUAGAUUAGCUAGUUGGUGGAGUAAUAGCCUACCAAGGCAAUGAUCUAUAGCUGAUCUGAGAGGAUGAUCAGCCACACUGGAACUGAGAUACGGUCCAGACUUCUACGGGAGGCAGCAGUGGGGAAUAUUGGACAAUGGGCGAAAGCCUGAUCCAGCCAUGUCGCAUGAGUGAAGAAGGCCUUUGGGUUGUAAAGCUCUUUUAGUGAGGAAGAUAAUGACGGUACUCACAGAAGAAGUCCUGGCUAACUCCGUGCCAGCAGCCGCGGUAAUACGGAGAGGGCUAGCGUUAUUCGGAAUUAUUGGGCGUAAAGGGCGCGUAGGCUGAUUAAUAAGUUAAAAGUGAAAUCCCAAGGCUUAACCUUGGAAUUGCUUUUAAAACUAUUAAUCUAGAGAUUGAAAGAGGAUAGAGGAAUUCCUGAUGUAGAGGUAAAAUUCGUAAAUAUUAGGAGGGACACCAGUGGCGAAGGCGUCUAACUGGUUCAAAUCUGACGCUGAGGCGCGAAGGCGUGGGGAGCAAACAGGAUUAGAUACCCUGGUAGUCCACGCUGUAAACGAUGAAUGUUAAAUAUGGGAAGUUUACUUUCUGUAUUACAGCUAACGCGUUAAACAUUCCGCCUGGGGACUACGGUCGCAAGAUUAAAACUCAAAGGAAUUGACGGGGACCCGCACAAGCGGUGGAGCAUGUGGUUUAAUUCGAUGCAACGCGAAAAACCUUACCACUUCUUGACAUGAAAAUCAUACCUAUU
Molecule: ribosomal RNA, 896 nt
Filed under: Wolbachia sp.
Lineage: Bacteria; Pseudomonadati; Pseudomonadota; Alphaproteobacteria; Rickettsiales; Anaplasmataceae
Description: bacterial SSU rRNA
Rfam family: Bacterial small subunit ribosomal RNA
Source: RNAcentral